Molecule: ribosomal RNA, 484 nt
Filed under: uncultured bacterium
Lineage: Bacteria
Description: partial 16S ribosomal RNA
Rfam family: Bacterial small subunit ribosomal RNA
Source: RNAcentral
AUUGAACGCUGGCGGCAGGCCUAACACAUGCAAGUCGAGCGGAUGAAGGGAGCUUGCUCCUGGAUUCAGCGGCGGACGGGUGAGUAAUGCCUAGGAAUCUGCCUGGUAGUGGGGGAUAACGUCCGGAAACGGGCGCUAAUACCGCAUACGUCCUGAGGGAGAAAGUGGGGGAUCUUCGGACCUCACGCUAUCAGAUGAGCCUAGGUCGGAUUAGCUAGUUGGUGGGGUAAAGGCCUACCAAGGCGACGAUCCGUAACUGGUCUGAGAGGAUGAUCAGUCACACUGGAACUGAGACACGGUCCAGACUCCUACGGGAGGCAGCAGUGGGGAAUAUUGGACAAAGGGCGAAAGCCUGAUCCAGCCAUGCCGCGUGUGUGAAGAAGGUCUUCGGAUUGUAAAGCACUUUAAGUUGGGAGGAAGGGCAGUAAGUUAAUACCUCGCUGUUUUGACGGUACCAACAGAAUAAGCACCGGCUAACUUCGUG